Long non-coding RNA from Astyanax mexicanus (Mexican tetra), 676 nucleotides. RefSeq lists it as uncharacterized. Lineage: Eukaryota; Metazoa; Chordata; Actinopteri; Characiformes; Acestrorhamphidae. The record is from RefSeq and is a predicted model, not a curated record. The transcript has 3 exons.
ACCAAAACCUACUGUCAUAAAAUAAGCAAGAGGUUCCAUGUUCCAUUCUUGGGGUCUGUAUGGCAUACACAUUUUUUGUUUUCUCUUCAUUUUAAAACAACUUUUUUGCCCAGCGCGCACCAAACCCAAAACCAAAACUAAAUGAAUCAAAAGCUAAAUAUUAGAUACCUAAAAAUGUGAUAUGAGAUCCCCAGGACUGGUAUAGGGAACCCUUGAAUUAAGCGAAGUCAUUACUAAUUUUGCUUUCACUUUUACAGAUCAGGCUUCGGGAUUCUUCUCCUGUUGUGUUGACACACACAUGCUGUUCAUGUGUCGCAGGCACUGCUCUUUGCAACCACAUAGUGGCUUUGCUUUUCCAAACGGCACAUUUUUCUCAGCUCAGUGUGCCAGUAGUCCCCCCUGUACACGGCUGUACUGAAACGGAACAACGCUGGCACAAACCUCGGACAAUUGGUGUAAAGCCAGGACCCAUCAACAGCAUGGUGAUCACCAAACCUGUGCCAAACCGGACAUCUCAAGGUGGGGUUAGAAGCGGACUCUACAGAGGCAUGGUGGGCCCUUUACCGGACCCAUGCAUGUUUAGAAUUGCAGAGGCUUAUGAAAAGUUUGCACUUGAAGACAAGCCACUAGUGACCACCAUGGGCAUGGGAAUAAAGAAGCCAGCUGUUCAGUGUGC